RNAcentral lists this ribosomal RNA (473 nucleotides) under uncultured bacterium. Its description in RNAcentral is "bacterial SSU rRNA". It matches the Rfam family "Bacterial small subunit ribosomal RNA", at positions 355 to 825 of the family's 1533-position model. The record is from RNAcentral.
UGGGGAAUUUUGGACAAUGGGGGCAACCCUGAUCCAGCAAUGCCGCGUGAGUGAAGAAGGCCUUCGGGUUGUAAAGCUCUUUUGUCAGGGAAGAAACGGUAGUAGCGAAUAACUAUUACUAAUGACGGUACCUGAAGAAUAAGCACCGGCUAACUACGUGCCAGCAGCCGCGGUAAUACGUAGGGUGCAAGCGUUAAUCGGAAUUACUGGGCGUAAAGCGUGCGCAGGCGGUUGUGUAAGUCAGGAUGUGAAAUCCCCGGGCUCAACCUGGGAAUUGCAUUUGGGACUGCACGGCUAGAGUGUGUCAGAGGGGGGUAGAAUUCCACGUGUAGCAGUGAAAUGCGUAGAUAUGUGGAGGAAUACCGAUGGCGAAGGCAGCCCCCUGGGAUAACACUGACGCUCAUGCACGAAAGCGUGGGGAGCAAACAGGAUUAGAUACCCUUGUAGUCCCUGAGCGGGCUGGCAAGGCGCAU